UACAGAUUCAGCCCGGGCACCAUGA
RNAcentral lists this unclassified non-coding RNA (25 nucleotides) under Mus musculus (house mouse). RNAcentral describes it as "oocyte_clustered_small_RNA9048". The record is from RNAcentral. Lineage: Eukaryota; Metazoa; Chordata; Mammalia; Rodentia; Muridae.